Molecule: ribosomal RNA, 263 nt
Filed under: uncultured bacterium
Lineage: Bacteria
Description: partial 16S ribosomal RNA
Rfam family: Bacterial small subunit ribosomal RNA
Source: RNAcentral
GUCCACGCCGUAAACGAUGUCAACUAGCCGUUGGGUUCCUUGAGAACUUAGUGGCGCAGCUAACGCAUUAAGUUGACCGCCUGGGGAGUACGGCCGCAAGGUUAAAACUCAAAUGAAUUGACGGGGGCCCGCACAAGCGGUGGAGCAUGUGGUUUAAUUCGAAGCAACGCGAAGAACCUUACCUGGCCUUGACAUGCUGAGAACUUUCCAGAGAUGGAUUGGUGCCUUCGGGAACUCAGACACAGGUGCUGCAUGGCUGUCGU